This 206-nucleotide long non-coding RNA is filed under the name Mytilus galloprovincialis (Mediterranean mussel). Lineage: Eukaryota; Metazoa; Mollusca; Bivalvia; Mytilida; Mytilidae. The record is from RNAcentral.
CAUGAUUUUUUCCAAGAACAUAUUGUCCAUGAUUUAUUCCAAGAACAUAUUGUCCAUGAUUUAUUCCAAGAAAUUAUCGUCCGUGGUAUAUUCCUACAGCAUCUUGCUCAUGAUUUAUUCCAAGAUCAUAUUGUCCAUGAUUUAUUCCAAGAGCAUAUUGUCCAUGACUUUUUGACAAGAACAUAUUGUUCAUUAUUUAUGACAAG